This 248-nucleotide long non-coding RNA is filed under the name Setaria italica (foxtail millet). Its description in RNAcentral is "long non-coding RNA (SITA_LNC006823)". The record is from RNAcentral. Lineage: Eukaryota; Viridiplantae; Streptophyta; Magnoliopsida; Poales; Poaceae.
AACGCAUUGAAAAUAUCCUUCCGUUUCACGGUCUCCAGCCUGAUGAUUGCAAUCUUUUCAAAACGGGCGCCCACGACAACCACUCCUCCCGAAAAAAUCAAAAUGCCGACGCGGUAAAAAUUCCGCUUUUACCCCUUCUCAGACCACCUUUAAAUAUCAGCAUGUCCUGUACUCCCCUUACGAGCUCACGUCUUCCUUCUUUAGCACACGGGCCUUCUUCUUCCUCCGGCGCCUUCCUUAGCUUCCAG